UAUUUUUUUGCAGAAGAGCGUCAUGAUCCUCAAAUGGACCCUUUGAUAGCUAAACUAUAUAACAGGUAAUGAUGUGUUCUCUCCAUUCCUUUUAUUUUUGUAGUAUGUUUCUCACUGCUUCUGGGAAUGAUAUUAAUUGCAGUGUUGCCAAGCUUAUGAGUGAAUACACGGUUGGAAAAAUGCCAAGAGCAUUUGUGCGGAUCACAAAUGCUCAUUUAGAUCCACUUAGUUUAUCGUGUUUUAAAUGAGUUGCCCUCUUGAAAUCAACUAAUUGAAUGGGUUUUGAGUAUUGAUUAAACUCUAUAUAGAUGUACGAUAUGUGCUGAGUGAAUUCAAUGUUUCAGAAACUUAUUAUUUUUUACUAAGAUUGAUUUAAACAAGAAGCAUCAGUGUUAUAGUCAGAGCCAUCUAAGCUCCUGUUCCUAUUAACCUUUGAAUGAAACUUAUUAUUUUUACUAAGACUGAUUUAAACAAGAAGCAUCAAUGUUAUAGUUAGAGCCAUCUAAGCUCCUGUUCUUAUUAACUUUUGAAUUAAAAUU
This 539-nucleotide long non-coding RNA is filed under the name Brassica napus (rape). Its description in RNAcentral is "long non-coding RNA (BNAP_LNC019838)". The record is from RNAcentral. Lineage: Eukaryota; Viridiplantae; Streptophyta; Magnoliopsida; Brassicales; Brassicaceae.